Molecule: long non-coding RNA, 818 nt
Organism: Schistocerca piceifrons (Central American locust)
Lineage: Eukaryota; Metazoa; Arthropoda; Insecta; Orthoptera; Acrididae
Exons: 2
Source: RefSeq, a predicted model, not a curated record
UGUGUUUUGCAUCUCGGAUGCUACCUUCAUACAAACAAAGAUUAUCGCUGGCAUACAGGAUAACACGUGCGCCGUCGUUUGUUGUUUACAAGUGGACGAAACGAGAGCUGGUACUUUAAUCGCACUAUAACGAUUUUUGGAAGCAUUCACGAUGUAUUUAAUGUAUUAUCUUGACGGAAAUGGUGACAGAGUGUAUACUCUGAAGAAAGUCGAUCCGAAGGGCAGACCCACGGCAUCAGCUCAUCCUGCUCGAUUUUCACCAGAGGAUAAAUACUCCCGAGAGAGAAUAAUGACAAAGAGAAGAUUUUAUUUGCUUCCAACGCAACAGCCACAGUACGCCUGCUGAUAACGCAGUCGAGUGAGGUGAAAAGGAAUGCAAACAGUGGAACACUGGUUUAUUUUGUUCGUGUUUUUGUAGUGAAUUUGUAUAAUGUUUGUUAAUUGAACAUAACGUGCUAGUGAGAAAUUGCGAACAUAUUAAAGGACUCCAUGUAGUAGUUUCAUGCUAAAAUUAUAUCGUGCUCUAAUUGAAAUAAAUUGAUGUUAUAAGGAGUGUUCUUUUCCUUUUGACAGAAUUUUGUUAAAAUAAUGCAGCUAGAAUUUCAGCAGACACCUCUGUGACGAUGUUAGACAGUAUUAUGAUAUGAAAUACAAAAUGGUGGUGUAAGCAUUUUGAUUUAAAUGUUAAGAAUGUGUUAAAAUUGCUUAGCAUUUUGACAGUUGAACAUGGUUGACACUAUAAGAAGCGUUGUGUUUAAGUGCAUUUUGACUUAGAGCUUGUACUCAAAUAUCUAAUAAAGAGUGGUACAUAACAGAUA